This is a long non-coding RNA of Gossypium arboreum, 618 nucleotides long. RefSeq lists it as uncharacterized. Lineage: Eukaryota; Viridiplantae; Streptophyta; Magnoliopsida; Malvales; Malvaceae. The record is from RefSeq and is a predicted model, not a curated record. The transcript is spliced from 2 exons.
CAUCCACUAGAUCUUUCAUGAGAAAUUUGAGCCAUUGAUUAAUGUUAUUAAAUGGAAAUAAGGUAUAGUAAAUGAGCAAGAGACGCAAACCUUAUUCAUUCUCAUCUCCUCUCCCACCGAACCAAGAAAGAAGAAAGGAGUUUUGGCUUUGGUUUUCCUUCAUUGCCGUAAGAAAUAUUGGUUGAAAUGGAGGAACAACGUAAGGAUAAAAACAGAAGACAAACAAAUAAUUCAGUGACGAUUAGGUCUCAUGGAUACAAAAAGUUCGACAGCAUCCGUGGCUCACUUCUCAACUAAGCAACGUUUGUAUAAUCUUUAGAAUAUAAUGUACUUAGUGUCAAAGCUAGCUUUAGAACCCCUUUCUAUGAUUUAAAUUUAGAAUGCUAGUGAAUUGUAAGCUAUAUGUGAAGUGGUAUGAAUAUGACGUUAUGUUGGUAUGCAUGAUCAUUACAUGGUGUUUACUCAAUGAAACAGGUGUAGGUUGCAUGCUAAGUAAGUUAAAUUGAUGUGUUCAGUUGGGUUAUUGAGGGAUUAAUGUUUGAUUAUCACGAUGAAUUCAAUGUACGAGUUAGUUUGAGUUAUUUUAACUACGAAUAUGGUAUCUUAUAUUUGAUCUCA